Long non-coding RNA from Entelurus aequoreus (snake pipefish), 350 nucleotides. RefSeq lists it as uncharacterized. The transcript has 4 exons. NCBI's taxonomy places the organism in Eukaryota, Metazoa, Chordata, Actinopteri, Syngnathiformes, Syngnathidae. The record is from RefSeq and is a predicted model, not a curated record.
UUUAGAAUUAGAGAGUGAUGAUAGCGAGCAAGAGAAUGACACGACGUCAACUCCAGAAACAGUGACAAAAUGGCUCCUUCUUUUGUGGUCGUUGAGUUCCUUGGUGAACAUUCAGUCGCUGUUGUCCCAACCAAAUGGACAGAAGAUGAUGGAAAGAAUACCUUCUGCUAUUGGCCAAGGCCAAAUCCUACCCACUCCAGAAUCCGGAAAGCUGAAGUUCCUGACAAACAAUUCUGGGAGAGGCUGCCAAUUCGGGUUUUCAGGAAAACAUUGACUGCGAGUACCAGACCACUUCAGCCAGUACCAGCCAAUACCAGACCACUCCAAGGCAUCCAGGCCGACCUCACAGC